AUGGCUUCUCGGCCUUUUGGCUAAGAUCAAGUGUAGAAUCAAAUCCUCAUAAAGCCUUUCAUAUUACAGGGCAUUGAUUUGCUUGAUGAUUUUGAACAAUUUAUUCUGAAGCACAAAGUCAGAUCUGGGAAAGAACUAUUGGCUCCAGCAUCUAACAAGGCUAG
This 164-nucleotide small nuclear RNA is filed under the name Zalophus californianus (California sea lion). RNAcentral describes it as "U2 spliceosomal RNA (ENSZCAG00015009147.1)". It matches the Rfam family "U2 spliceosomal RNA". Rfam says of the family: U2 is a small nuclear RNA (snRNA) component of the spliceosome (involved in pre-mRNA splicing). Complementary binding between U2 snRNA (in an area lying towards the 5' end but 3' to hairpin I) and the branchpoint sequence (BPS) of the intron results the bulging out of an unpaired adenosine, on the BPS, which initiates a nucleophilic attack at the intronic 5' splice site, thus starting the first of two transesterification reactions that mediate splicing. The record is from RNAcentral. Lineage: Eukaryota; Metazoa; Chordata; Mammalia; Carnivora; Otariidae.